This 378-nucleotide unclassified non-coding RNA is filed under the name Hevea brasiliensis (rubber tree). Lineage: Eukaryota; Viridiplantae; Streptophyta; Magnoliopsida; Malpighiales; Euphorbiaceae. The record is from RNAcentral.
UGGGAAAAUCCCAAGUCUUCCUCCAAGUAGGCAGGAAGCUGAGAUGCAACACAAUUCUGUAAAGUAACAGUUACUGGUGAAUCACCACCAGCCCCUUCCACCUUCACUUUGGGUUGCUUAAGUGCGUCUCUGAACACCAUUGUAAACAGCGUACGUUCUCGAAUCGCGCCGCCUCAAAUCCAACAAUUCUUGUAUCGAAUUCCGCACGAAAAAACACAAAACCAAUCCGAUCACUCACUCUUUCAAAAGGUAAAAGCAGCUUUAAGCUUCUUCAACCCUAUCAUCUCCUCCCUCUCUCCACAUCAAUCAAACUGUUACGACACCUACAUAAUCCUGUAUGUUUCUCUCUGCUGAGAGAGAGAGAGAGAGAGAGAGAGA